This is a transfer RNA of Caenorhabditis briggsae, 85 nucleotides long. It matches the Rfam family "tRNA". From Rfam's summary of the family: Transfer RNA (tRNA) molecules are approximately 80 nucleotides in length. Their secondary structure includes four short double-helical elements and three loops (D, anti-codon, and T loops). Further hydrogen bonds mediate the characteristic L-shaped molecular structure. tRNAs have two regions of fundamental functional importance: the anti-codon, which is responsible for specific mRNA codon recognition, and the 3' end, to which the tRNAs corresponding amino acid is attached (by aminoacyl-tRNA synthetases). tRNAs cope with the degeneracy of the genetic code in two manners: having more than one tRNA (with a specific anti-codon) for a particular amino acid; and 'wobble' base-pairing, i.e. permitting non-standard base-pairing at the 3rd anti-codon position. NCBI's taxonomy places the organism in Eukaryota, Metazoa, Nematoda, Chromadorea, Rhabditida, Rhabditidae. The record is from Rfam.
ACCCGGGUGGCCGAGUGGGGAAAGGCACGAGUCGCACGACUCGGCGGGCACUGACCCAACGCAGGUUCGAGUCCUGUCCCUGGUA